Molecule: ribosomal RNA, 246 nt
Filed under: uncultured bacterium
Lineage: Bacteria
Description: partial small subunit ribosomal RNA
Rfam family: Bacterial small subunit ribosomal RNA
Source: RNAcentral
AGAAUCAACGCUGGCGGCGUGCCUAACACAUGCAAGUCGCACGAGAAAGGGACUUCGGUCCUGAGUAAAGUGGCGCACGGGUGAGUAACACGUGAAUCAUCCUACCCUCGAGUGGGGGAAUAACCUAGAGAAAUCUGGGCUAAUACCGCAUAACACUUACGAGUCAAAGCAGCAAUGCGCUUGGGGAGGAGUUCGCGGCCGAUUAGCUAGUUGGCGGGGUAAUGGCCCACAAGGCGAUGAUCGGUA